RNAcentral lists this long non-coding RNA (392 nucleotides) under Rattus norvegicus (Norway rat). Its description in RNAcentral is "long non-coding RNA NONRATT007626". Lineage: Eukaryota; Metazoa; Chordata; Mammalia; Rodentia; Muridae. The record is from RNAcentral.
UGAUGGAAACAGACAGAGAAGGGGGGGGGUGGUACUGGGAGUCUAUCCCAGCCGUAUGGCUUAAGGUCUGCCCAGGACAACAUCUUGGCUUGUGGAAAAUCAAGACAUCUCUUACACUGUGCUGACCUCUGUUCACGAUCCACUGUGUCCCUAGGGGUCUGUAAUCCUGAACAAAUGAGAUGAAAGCACUGCCCCUCCCCAGCCAUGGCGCCAGCCAGCCAGCCACCCUCCCCUACCAUGGCUACCCUCUUCGUGAUUUUGGUCUUCGGCAUGGCAUUGAGCCACCUCACUGUCCUCUGUCUCUUGCAGCGUGAUGCGGUGUUUGGGAUCCUCAGCAAAGUGAAGCCUCCCUAUACAUCCUGUGCCGACUGCAUGUACCCAGCAGCUGGGGC